This 81-nucleotide transfer RNA is filed under the name Citrobacter freundii. RNAcentral's name for it is "tRNA-Tyr". It matches the Rfam family "tRNA". Rfam says of the family: Transfer RNA (tRNA) molecules are approximately 80 nucleotides in length. Their secondary structure includes four short double-helical elements and three loops (D, anti-codon, and T loops). Further hydrogen bonds mediate the characteristic L-shaped molecular structure. tRNAs have two regions of fundamental functional importance: the anti-codon, which is responsible for specific mRNA codon recognition, and the 3' end, to which the tRNAs corresponding amino acid is attached (by aminoacyl-tRNA synthetases). tRNAs cope with the degeneracy of the genetic code in two manners: having more than one tRNA (with a specific anti-codon) for a particular amino acid; and 'wobble' base-pairing, i.e. permitting non-standard base-pairing at the 3rd anti-codon position. The record is from RNAcentral. RNAcentral also lists the same sequence under 49 other names. Lineage: Bacteria; Pseudomonadati; Pseudomonadota; Gammaproteobacteria; Enterobacterales; Enterobacteriaceae.
GGUGGGGUUCCCGAGCGGCCAAAGGGAGCAGACUGUAAAUCUGCCGUCAUCGACUUCGAAGGUUCGAAUCCUUCCCCCACC